RNAcentral lists this ribosomal RNA (253 nucleotides) under uncultured bacterium. RNAcentral's name for it is "partial 16S ribosomal RNA". It matches the Rfam family "Bacterial small subunit ribosomal RNA", at positions 524 to 776 of the family's 1533-position model. The record is from RNAcentral.
UACAUAGGGACCAAGCGUUGUUCGGAUUUACUGGGCGUAAAGGGCGCGUAGGCGGCAUGACAAGUCACUUGUGAAAUCUCCGGGCUUAACUCGGAACGGUCAAGUGAUACUGUCGCGCUAGAGUGCGGAAGGGGCAAUCAGAAUUCUUGGUGUAGCGGUGAAAUGCGUAGAUAUCAAGAGGAACACCUGAGGUGAAGACGGGUUGCUGGGCUGACACUGACGCUGAGAAGCGAAAGCAUGGGGAGCGAACAGG